GACGAACGCUGGCGGCGUGCUUAACACAUGCAAGUCGAACGGAAAGGCCCUGCUUUUGUGGGGUGCUCGAGUGGCGAACGGGUGAGUAACACGUGAGUAACCUGCCCUUGACUUUGGGAUAACUUCAGGAAACUGGGGCUAAUACCGGAUAGGAGCUACUGCUGCAUGGUGGGGGUUGGAAAGUUUCGGCGGUUGGGGCUGGACUCGCGGCUUAUCAGCUUGUUGGUGGGGUAGUGGCUUACCAAGGCUUUGACGGGUAGCCGGCCUGGGAGGGUGACCGGCCACAUUGGGACUGAGGUACGGCCCAGAAUCCUACGGGAGGCAGCGGUGGGGAAUAUUGCACAAUGGGCGGAAGCCUGAUGCAGCAACGCCGCGUGCGGGAUGACGGCCUUCGGGUUGUAAACCGCUUUCGCCUGUGACGAAGCGUGAGUGACGGUAAUGGGUAAAGAAGCACCGGCUAACUACGUG
RNAcentral lists this ribosomal RNA (468 nucleotides) under uncultured bacterium. RNAcentral describes it as "partial 16S ribosomal RNA". It matches the Rfam family "Bacterial small subunit ribosomal RNA", at positions 28 to 507 of the family's 1533-position model. The record is from RNAcentral.